CAGGUUUUUUGAACAUGUUUGAAAAAUCGCAUUUUUUUUCGACAUAGUAUAGUAAGGCGUUUUUUUUGCGCCAAAAUUCAUGAUGAUUUUUUAUUCAAAGAAAACCUUUCUGGAGUGUUUUUCACGCCGUCCUUUGCAUUAUUUCAUCAUAUGGCAGGUUUUUACAACAUGUUCGAAAAAUCGCAUUUUUUUUCGACAUAGUAUAGUAAGGCGUUUUUUUGGCGCCAAAAUUCAUGAUGAUUUUUUUUUCAAAGAAAACCUUUCUGGAGUGUUUUUCACGCCCUCCUUUACAUUAUUUCAUCAUAUGGCAGGUUUUUACAACAUGUUCGAAUAAUCGCAUUUUUUUUCGACA
This is a long non-coding RNA of Amphiprion ocellaris (clown anemonefish), 352 nucleotides long. NCBI's taxonomy places the organism in Eukaryota, Metazoa, Chordata, Actinopteri, Pomacentridae. The record is from Ensembl.